Tachysurus vachellii is the source of this 435-nucleotide long non-coding RNA. RefSeq lists it as uncharacterized. The record is from RefSeq and is a predicted model, not a curated record. The transcript is spliced from 4 exons. Lineage: Eukaryota; Metazoa; Chordata; Actinopteri; Siluriformes; Bagridae.
CUGUGCCGCCGCAUUGGAACAGUCUGUUUCCAGCUUCAUACUGUUUUGAUUUAAACUUGAUUUCAUUACAAUAAGGCACAAAAGAGUCCCUAGGAUUACAUCUGACUGGACAGUACAUAGCUGUUGUGUACCAACUUCACAGAGCGUUUACAGGGAUUAGAGGAAGGUCAGUCUAACUGACUAUUUUGGAAGGCCCUGGCAUACCAUGUACUGAUGAUUGGCCAAAUGUUUGGAGUAAAAGCCAAUGGGAGGCUUUUAUAACAAAGAACCCUUGUUUGGGGUGCAAGAACAACAAGCUUGGAUGCCUGGUCUGCUCUAAUGCAGGAUCAAGAGGGGUCUUCAAAGAACAAGGUGUACAAGUUUCCAUAGAGUGGGCUAUAUUUCAAAUUCAAGGUUCCAACAAUGAAAACAGAGACAUUAUUUUAUUAAGGAACA